GGACUACCAGGGUAUCUAAUCCUGUUCGCUCCCCACGCUUUCGCGCCUCAGCGUCAGUAUUGUGCCAGGCGGCUGCCUUCGCCAUCGACGUUCCUUCCGAUCUCUACGCAUUUCACCGCUACACCGGAAAUUCCGCCGCCCUCUCACAUACUCCAGCCAACCAGUUUGCGGUGCCCUUCCCAGGUUGAGCCCGGGGCUUUCACACCACACCCAAUCGACCGCCUACGCGCCCUUUACGCCCAGUAACUCCGAUUAACGCUCGCACCCUCUGUAUUACCGCGGCUGCUGGCAC
Molecule: ribosomal RNA, 292 nt
Filed under: uncultured bacterium
Lineage: Bacteria
Description: partial 16S ribosomal RNA
Source: RNAcentral